This is a non-coding RNA of Camellia sinensis, 1270 nucleotides long. The record is from RefSeq and is a predicted model, not a curated record. NCBI's taxonomy places the organism in Eukaryota, Viridiplantae, Streptophyta, Magnoliopsida, Ericales, Theaceae.
GUAGGCAUUAUGCAUCCGUGGCUCAUCGAUUUUAAGGCAAGUGAACGGGGUUCCAGCGAGCCGAGCAUACAUGAUUAUUUCAGAUUGAAAGGAUGCUAAGUGAGAUGUUGAGUCACUUGGAGUGCCAACCAAGAAAUAAGGAGCGCCGUCUAGCAUGGCUUAAGCACAAUGUGCAACUUUUCAAUGUUGUGGGUCUUGUAUUGCUAGCUCAUUUCAGACGUAUUUUUCCACUUUUUUUUUCAGUGGAUGCAUACUGAUGACGAUGAAACAAUUUUGCUGGUAAGUAAUUGCUCUUCCUUGCAUGAAUUAUUGAUUCCCUUUACUCUUGAUAAGGUUUUUUGAAGUGAUUGCCAAUUUUAAAAUUCAGUCACACUUGUGCUUAACUUUUGGUCAGGUUCUCCUUUUUGAGAAUUCAUACUGAAGUCUAUUAUGUUUACGCUGAAUCCUGAUUCUUUGUCAUAUAAUGUACACUUGAGCAAUAUAUUUGAUGAGAGAAUCUCAUCAAUCUAUGCAGCCCCAUCAUUUAUUGAUGAGAUCACACAGCGUGUGACACAAGACGUUGAGUCUAGGUUCACUACGACGAUCAAGAACCUAGCAGCACGUGUUUUGUUCUUAGAGUCACAUGGUGUGGCUGGGAGUAUGAGCUUGAGAGAGGUGUCAGAUGCAUCUAGUGGGCAACAAGCUUCAAAAGAAAAUGAAUAGAGACAUCAUCUUCUUCUCCUUGUCUUUGUACAUUCCAUUCUUUUCCUCUCUUAUCAGGUCCAAUCUCUAGGAUUGCUUCUUCUAAAAUGACAAAACUGAAGAAACUGAAGAAUGACAUUCCAUUUCUUCCCGAGAAAUCUUUUUUCGGAUUCUGAUUUUCCUUCGUGCAAAGUUUCUGCAUAACUGUGGGAGAUAUGUGUGCAGGGCUUGGUCAAAAAUUAUAUCCAGUAGUUUGGUAUACCAUAUAAUUCUGGUUAUCUUGAGCUUAAUGAGGGAGACUUCAAAAUUACCUUGAGCUUAAUUUUGUAUAAAAGCUUACCUUUUUCAAUUGUGGAGAAGGAGCUUUUCCCCUCGUCAUAUCGCUUUCAUUUCUUGCACUGGGGAGUACAAGGUGUUAUGCCAGUUCAUUGAUAGAGUGGAGAAACACCCGAUGAAGAAAAUUGAUAAGAAGAUUGGCCAGUUCUGGAUUGUAUUUUUUUCAUAAAAGAACUUUUCCCAAGCUUUUAGUUGUAAUAACUUUUACAUAUGGCUCAAAUUUUGAGACUCAAAUAGAAUGUUCAAUCAAACU